RNAcentral lists this ribosomal RNA (459 nucleotides) under uncultured bacterium. RNAcentral's name for it is "partial 16S ribosomal RNA". It matches the Rfam family "Bacterial small subunit ribosomal RNA", at positions 338 to 795 of the family's 1533-position model. The record is from RNAcentral.
CCUACGGGAGGCAGCAGUGAGGAAUAUUGGUCAAUGGCCGGAAGGCUGAACCAGCCAUGCCGCGUGAAGGUCAGUGCCCUAUGGGCGUUAAACUUCUUUUGUGCGGGAGCAAUAAUGGUCACGUGUGGCCAGACGAGAGUACCGUACGAAUAAGGAUCGGCUAACUCCGCGCCAGCAGCCGCGGUAAUACGGAGGAUCCGAGCGUUAUCCGGAUUUAUUGGGUUUAAAGGGUGAGUAGGCGGCCUUUUAAGUCAGCGGGGAAAGUCUGUGGGCCAAACAAAGAAAUGCCGUUGAAACUGGGGGGCUUGAGUAUGUGUGAAGUAGGCGGAAUGCGGGGUGUAGCGGGGAAAUGCUUAGAUAUCACGCAGAACCCCGAUUGCGAAGGCAGCCUGCCAAGGCAUGACUGACGCUGAUGCACGAAAGCGUGGGGAUCAAACAGGAUUAGAUACCCCAGUAGUC